This 393-nucleotide ribosomal RNA is filed under the name Staphylococcus aureus. RNAcentral describes it as "partial 23S ribosomal RNA". It matches the Rfam family "Bacterial large subunit ribosomal RNA", at positions 338 to 734 of the family's 2925-position model. Lineage: Bacteria; Bacillati; Bacillota; Bacilli; Caryophanales; Staphylococcaceae. The record is from RNAcentral.
UCAUCUGGAAAGAUGAAUCAAAGAAGGUAAUAAUCCUGUAGUCGAAAAUGUUGUCUCUCUUGAGUGGAUCCUGAGUACGACGGAGCACGUGAAAUUCCGUCGGAAUCUGGGAGGACCAUCUCCUAAGGCUAAAUACUCUCUAGUGACCGAUAGUGAACCAGUACCGUGAGGGAAAGGUGAAAAGCACCCCGGAAGGGGAGUGAAAUAGAACCUGAAACCGUGUGCUUACAAGUAGUCAGAGCCCGUUAAUGGGUGAUGGCGUGCCUUUUGUAGAAUGAACCGGCGAGUUACGAUUUGAUGCAAGGUUAAGCAGUAAAUGUGGAGCCGUAGCGAAAGCGAGUCUGAAUAGGGCGUUUAGUAUUUGGUCGUAGACCCGAAACCAGGUGAUCUACC